GAAAUGCGAUAAGUAGUGUGAAUUGCAGAAUUCAGUGAAUCAUCGAAUCUUUGAACGCACAUUGCGCCCCUUGGUAUUCCAUGGGGCAUGCCUGUUCGAGCGUCAUUUGUACCCUCAAGCUCUGCUUGGUGUUGGGUGUUUGUCCCGUCUCCGCGCGUGGACUCGCCCCAAAGUGAUUGGCAGCCGGCGUACUGGUCCCGGAGCACAGCACAUGUCGCGCAAACGAGUGCCUUGGUACGGCGGCGUCCAUAAGCCCCUCUCUCACGCUCUUGACCUCGGAUCAGGUAGGGAUACCCGCUGAACUUAAGC
Molecule: unclassified non-coding RNA, 309 nt
Filed under: plant metagenome
Description: partial contains 5.8S ribosomal RNA, internal transcribed spacer 2, and large subunit ribosomal RNA
Rfam family: 5.8S ribosomal RNA (bases 1-105)
Source: RNAcentral